GUCAGUGUCGUCUAGUGGUUAGGACGCGAGCUUCACACGCUCGAGAUCGAGGGUUCGCUCCCCUCCUCUGAUA
This 73-nucleotide transfer RNA is filed under the name Phytophthora sojae. RNAcentral describes it as "tRNA PHYSODRAFT_t349". It matches the Rfam family "tRNA". From Rfam's summary of the family: Transfer RNA (tRNA) molecules are approximately 80 nucleotides in length. RNAcentral also lists the same sequence under 1 other name. The record is from RNAcentral. Lineage: Eukaryota; Oomycota; Peronosporomycetes; Peronosporales; Peronosporaceae.